RNAcentral lists this ribosomal RNA (4444 nucleotides) under Triticum aestivum (bread wheat). RNAcentral describes it as "partial small subunit ribosomal RNA". The record is from RNAcentral. Lineage: Eukaryota; Viridiplantae; Streptophyta; Magnoliopsida; Poales; Poaceae.
GUGGGCGUGAACCCUAGCCCCCCAGUCCCCAGCCGCCACACCCCUCACCCCUCCCUCCUCACUCCCUCGCCACACUGUCGCACCAUCUGCCUCAUCACCAGCCACCGCAACAGGAGAUUUGCCGCUCCUCCUCCAUCAUCACCAGCCACAGCACCAGGAGAUCUUCCACCCACGAGAUCCAGCGCCUUGCAAGGUCCCCGGGUCGGCCUUCUCGCGCCCGUCACUCUGUUGACCAGAUAUGCACCCUUACUCCCUCUUCUCUCGCGUCGUGCGAUGCCUGCUGCUCCACCAUGCCGCGGUUAACUCAUGGAUGAUGGGGCCAUGGACCGGUCCUUGAAGGAGAGAAGGAAGACGGGGAGAGAGAAGGAAGGAGAGAAGGGAGAAGGAGAGAGGAAAGAGGAGAGGGAGGUGCAGCGGCGGAUGGGAGAUGGUCAUCGGCCGGCAUCUCCUCCCCUUCUCUUCUCACCAUCUCCUCUUCUUUGGAGCUAGCUGAGUGAUCCACGGUGAGGAAGAUGUGGAAGACAGAGCCAGCAAGGAAGACAACUCGUCCCUGUCGCCGUUGCCCACGGGCCACUUCAGUCAGGUGCCUUCCAUUCUUCCUCCCUCAGGAUUUUCAAUCCAAGAUUAGUUUUCCUUUGUAUCUAUAUAUGCUUCUACAUAAUAUAUGGUUUCUGUACUCUGCGCUUGACAAAAUGACAAGGCCUUGCAGCAGAGCAUAAAAUGGAGCCGGCAACAGGGAUCAUGGGAAAAACAACGGUGGCUGAACAGUGGACACCCGAAGCUGGCCGAGAAAGAGGGAGGCAGUGCGGGGCGGAAGAGGGCGUCCAUGUGGUAUCCGUUUCUGCUCAUCUUCAGCUUGCAGGUUGCUGAAUUUUCUCCUCUUUUUCUGGUUUGCUUUGAUCAGUAGAACAAGUCGCACAACACGUGUUUGCAUAAAUGGUUCUCACAAAUGAAGGCUUCUAUGUGCAGGUGAGCGGUUUACUGAAAUUGUAGCCAGUCCAUACUACAUGCUCCCAGAGGCAUUAAAGCACAACUAUUGUUCUGAAAUCGUUGUCUGGAUUGUAGGGGUUAUACUUUACAUACUUCCCUGUGGUGUGCAAACAUUUCUGGAAGGUGCUUACUUUCCUUGAUUGGACAGAAUAUAUGUUGUGAAGAAAUUAUAAAUCACCUUACAAAUUGACCACGCCACCGCCUUGAUUCGCUAGCCGCCGCCUAGAGUCACCCUGCUGCCGUCUCAAGCAAAACCAUGCAUUAACUCCACCACUGCAGCCAGGAAUCCCUUCCCUGUCAAGCUUACUUCCUCUGAAUCCCGGCUCUACCUGGUUCUCCUGCCGUGCUUAUUACAUGUGUGAUGUGUGCGUGCUUGCUACCUUGCUACUGGGUACUUUGUCGCUGGGUGUUGAGCCGCUGAUGUCCUGAUGCCGAUGCUUUGUUGUAUAUAUAUUUGUAUAAUGCUUGUAUCUUGCUUUGCUCUAAACUGACUGUUUUCCUUGUUGUGGCUGACCUGCUGAUAUUGCUGCUUUGCUGGCCAGGGAGUAAGUUCAGUGACAUACAGACACAAGAGAUAUUCAGUUAUGUUGUUGGGGAAAUUAAUGAUCAUUCAGUCAACAAAUGAGGCAUUAUCUUGAUCUCAUUUCAUCUCAGGCAUUGAUUAUUUGUUGUCUUCUUUGCAUGCAUUUUAUUAAUUAUUUAUACAUACUUGCCGUAUCUUUGUGCUGUUGUUUUUACAAAAUGUCGUAUCCUGUGUGCCCGUUUCCAUAUCGUCGUAUGUAUGUUGCUGUACGGUGCUUCAUAGCAAAAACUUACAUUACUAAAGAAAGUGUUCCUUUUCUUGUUACAUUGCUCUAUGAGCAUGAUCAUGUUUCUACUGAUUGAUUAUACAUAUGAUCUUUCUUUUGAUUAUUUUGCGGUAUUUCUAAUUGACACUAUGAGGUGCUUCCUUGUCAUGCAGAUUCAUCCUUUACUUAAAUACUGAUGAUGAUAUGGUUGUAAAUUAGUCUGGUAUAUGCCAAUAGUUGUCUCUCCCAGAAGAUUUUUUGUCAGAAUAGCUUACUAAAGAUUUGGUUGCUUGUCUAGAUUUUACACCCAACUAUAAGAAUGGGUUGACAACACUGAUUGGCUCUAUUGCGCUUCUAUGUUGUCUAGAUGCAUCAUUUAAUUAUACACUGAUGAUAUUGUUGUAGCUAAACAAAUGGGUGAAAACCACAUCAACCCAGCUAUAAGAAUGCAAUCUUAUGAUUCAUACUCACCUAUGGCUGCUAUAUUGUACAUUCUUUUGAUGAAACUAUACUGUACAUUUAAUAACCUGACUUCUUCCAUGAGAGAGCACUUAUUAGAGGUUUAACUGAGUGAGAUGGGGUUUAGGGACAAGAAGAGGAACCACAUCGGGUGCUCUUGCAAUGCUUGGCUGACUCCCAAGACUGUGAGGGGAAGGACUUCCUGGUGUGUGUGUGAUUUCCUUCGAACCAAAUGAACCUAACAGAAAGUCAGAAACACACACACAUGCAUUUUAUUCUUGUCCCUGAUGCUGUGUUGUUAUUGGUGUAGCCGCUGGAAGGGAAAGAGCAGAGGAUGUCUUGGGGGCUUGAUCGGUUUAUCUGUCUGUGCAGGGAUGGCAAGGCAGCUUGAAGGUGGUCACGCCCAUCUCGCGGAGAUGGUGCAAGCUGUCAAGAAUCACGGUGCUGGGGCACUGCACUUCGCCUCCGGGUGCAAGAUGGCGGAAGUGUGCGAGUACCUGUUGAGGUUGUCCAGGUGGACGUGGAUGCUGUUGACCAAGCAGGUAGAACACCUCUGGUUUGGGCAAUCACUGCUGAUAAAAGUGGGUACUUGAAUAUUGUCAGGUGUUAUGUUGAUCAUGGUGCCAAUCCCGACAUAAUGGGGUUUACUCUAUAUCAGGCCAUAAAAUAUGAAGUAUAAAACAUAUCAUAUAUUUUAUUUGGCAUAAAACAUUGUCACAAAUUGAUUCAUUUCAUAACUCCAUUGAUAAAAGUUGAAAGAAAUGAAGUGAAGCAUAUAAGAAUUUCUUAACUCACGUUAUAUUCUAUACAUUUGAUUCAGGGCAUUGUGAAAUAGUAGAACUCUUGCUCUCUAGGGGUGCUUAUGUCGAUCUAUUUUAUAUGGAUCAUGGGACACCAUUGCAUGGUAAACAUAAGCAGGAUGCAACCGUGAAGAUUUUGUUGGAUCACCAUUCAGAUGUAAGUUCCAUUCCAUGUGUCUUUGUUAUCUAAAGUUACAUUCCUUUAUUGUUUUCUCACUAUUAUAUUUGAUAACCUUUGGAACUUGAACUUUGAUCGAUAGAUAAUUAUGACUCUUCGAAGUCAGAAAAACUGUCAAUUUAUUUUGGGGCCGAUGUUAUUGUGGCAUCAAUACAACUUCAUUCCACUUGAUCCGGCACGACACAAGUCAAUAACCUCUCGCUUUGAUUUCUUCAUCAUGAAUGCCUAUAUGCAUUUUAAUGACCUUUAUUGUUCGUGUCGAGUGAAUAAGAACUACAGCAGUUUCUCAAUGUCGACCUCACUUGAGAUCCUUUUGUUUUAUUAUGAGAAGAUCAAGAGCUUUGAUAUGAUGAAGUGCAUAGUAUAUUUGAAAUAUGUAGUAAUUUUGUAUAAAGUAUUCCUAAUUUAUAUAACUUUUGUUCAAGUCCUAUCUAGAUCAAAAUCAUAAUCUUGCAUUUCGUUUUUGACAUAAUCUAUAUAUAAUGUCUUGGGUAAGAUAGAAGACCUUUAGGCUUAGAAACUUUUUGGAAUAGUUGGUCAAUGCCAAGGUAUAUGAUUUGUUUAUAUCUGCUUCUAUUUGUAUGCAUUUUUUUGUUUAUCUUCAAAAUAUUUCCUACAUGUCUCAUCUGUACACACGUGUGUGCUUGUUCUUGUCAUUGAGUUGAGUUAGUGAAUUGGUUGGUGAUGUUUAGUUUGUAGCCACUCAGAGCCACUCUAUAUUGUUGAAUUUGAGUUUUUUCCAGUGAUUUUAUUAAUCUUCAGACGAUCAGAUUUCAGUGUUUUUUCUGGUGACUGUUAGACAGAGACAUGAAUUCCGGGUCUACUUCUUUUCUUCUUUUUAUGAAAUCCUCAAUAAUUCCUACCUUUCUUGGAAGUGCAGGUACAUACUACUAUUAAUUAACUCCCAUGUUCAGUGUUUGGGACAGGUGGCAUGCACUAUCACGUCUGUAUGAUAUGGCCGAGUUUAGAUGAAAUAGUUUUGCAUGUUUGAUAUAUCUUAGUAAAUUAUGGGUUUGAUCUCCAAAUGUGCUUGAACAUAAUAAGUUAAGGAAGAUGCUUGGUUUGAUUUGAGCAAAGAGGUUGUACAGAUACUAUCUAAAUGGUGUGGAUGCUUUUCGCUUGAAAAGAUGGAAAGGAAGUUGUUUUUCUUGUGUUCUUUUCCUGUUUGAUACUUCCACACAUCUUCAUGGCCCGGUAAUUUUGGAACCAAGAAAAGCGCUGCAUUUCCU